This 382-nucleotide ribosomal RNA is filed under the name uncultured marine Chaetocerotaceae. RNAcentral describes it as "SSU rRNA". It matches the Rfam family "Eukaryotic small subunit ribosomal RNA", at positions 587 to 972 of the family's 1831-position model. Lineage: Eukaryota; Bacillariophyta; Thalassiosirophyceae; Chaetocerotales; Chaetocerotaceae. The record is from RNAcentral.
AGCUUCAGUAGCGUAUAUUAAAGUUGUUGCAGUUAAAAAGCUCGUAGUCGCAUUUCUGGCGAGAGGAUCCGGUCCGACCUUUUGGUGGGUUCUUGGGUCUCUUUCGCCAUCCUUGAGUGGUCCGUUCUGGCAUUAGGUUGUCGGAGCGUCAGCCGCUCAUCGUUUACUGUGAGAAAAUUAGAGUGUUCAAAGCAGGCUUAUGCCGUUGAAUAUAUUAGCAUGGAAUAAUAAGAUAGGACCUCGGUACUAUUUUGUUGGUUUGCGCGCCAAGGUAAUGAUGAACAGGGACAGUUGGGGGUAUUUGUAUUUCGUUGUCAGAGGUGAAAUUCUUAGAUUUACGAAAGACAAACUACUGCGAAAGCAUUUACCAAGGAUGUUUGCA